AAAUAUAUUAUUAACUAAAAGUUUAAUAAUAAUCAUAACAACAAUUGUAAUUCAAAUCAUAACUAUACCGAUUUGCUAAUCGCGGGUGAUUAAAUGUUUUUUUUUUGUUGAGGAUGAAAAUUGGAUUUCAUAGAAGAGAAGAAGUGGCUAUCUCAACCAUUACAAGCGACACAAAAGGAUGAGGAAUAUCCUCAAUCCAAACUUGCUCCUCCAUAUUAGCAGAGAGCGCAUAUUUAGCAAUGAUAUGAGCUAAACUAUCACUACUUGCCACAAGAAAUCUGAAACUCAAUUAAAACAUCUAAUAAAGUUUGGACUUUCAACAAUCUAGCGCCCAAAUCAGAAAGAGGAAACUCCAUACUUAAAAACUAUAGUAACUAAAUUCAAACAAUCAGACUCCAAGUGAACUUUGGAGAAGCCCAAGUCAAUAGAUUUUGUCAAAUCAAACAGCAUAGCUUCCGCUUCUGCAUUUUUCGGUGAUGAUGAAUAGUUGAGUGAGCCGCUGGAACCCCGAUGUCAUGACCUCCCCCUUACGGUUCGUCGCUACCAUACCCAGGCCACAUCGAGUGUCCUGCUGGAUCCCAAUAUCACAAUUGAUUUUAAUUAUCCCCUCCAUAGGGGCCAUCCAAGUGUGAGGAGCUUGUGUAGCUGGUCUCGCUGUCGUAGCAUCAUGAUGAACGCUAUCAGCUGGUACUUCCAUACUCUGCUGAAAUUCAUAGAGCAGAGAGACCGCCUACUGAGUUACCUGCAUAUGAGACAUAUGUUUACUUUGGCAAACAAGCAAGUUACCUUUGCGCCAGAUUCCCCAUGCUAUCAUAAAGAGGAGCUCAGUUUGUUCAUCAGUCAUGGGUGUGGAAAGCUCCAUUAACCAAUCUUUA
This 875-nucleotide long non-coding RNA is filed under the name Jatropha curcas. RNAcentral describes it as "long non-coding RNA (JCUR_LNC001452)". Lineage: Eukaryota; Viridiplantae; Streptophyta; Magnoliopsida; Malpighiales; Euphorbiaceae. The record is from RNAcentral.